RNAcentral lists this ribosomal RNA (497 nucleotides) under uncultured bacterium. RNAcentral describes it as "partial 16S ribosomal RNA". It matches the Rfam family "Bacterial small subunit ribosomal RNA", at positions 28 to 507 of the family's 1533-position model. The record is from RNAcentral.
GAUGAACGCUGGCGGCGUGCCUAAUACAUGCAAGUCGAGCGAACAGACGAGGAGCUUGCUCCUCUGACGUUAGCGGCGGACGGGUGAGUAACACGUGGAUAACCUACCUAUAAGACUGGGAUAACUUCGGGAAACCGGAGCUAAUACCGGAUAAUAUAUUGAACCGCAUGGUUCAAUAGUGAAAGACGGUUUUGCUGUCACUUAUAGAUGGAUCCGCGCCGCAUUAGCUAGUUGGUAAGGUAACGGCUUACCAAGGCAACGAUGCGUAGCCGACCUGAGAGGGUGAUCGGCCACACUGGAACGGAGACACGGUCCAGAAUCCUACGGGAGGCAGCAGUAGGGAAUCUUCCGCAAUGGGCGAAAGCUUGACGGAGCAACGCCGCGUGAGUGAUGAAGGUCUUCGGAUCGUAAAACUCUGUUAUUAGGGAAGAACAAAUGUGUAAGUAACUAUGCACGUCUUGACGGUACCUAAUCAGAAAGCCACGGCUAACUACGUG